CCUACGUGGAUGCAGAUGGCAACCCUGUCCAGGUGACCCAGCUCACAUUUCUGCGCCUGCUCAGUGCCGUCGCCCACCAGAAUUUCACCCUUCUUUGCCAGAACGUGGUUGCCUGGUAUGAGGCUGAUACCAGUGGCUACUCUCGGGCCUUGCGUUUCCUUGCGCACAGUGAAACGGAGCUGAUGCAUAACAGCACAGGAGCGCCCAUCCAUGCCUUGUACGAUGGCUGCCAGGCACGCAAGAACCGGAACGGUCCUGGAGAUUGUGGCGCCCUUGAGUGGAGUAACUACCAUUGAUAGAUGUGGCGUUGAAGAGUUUUGGGGGGGGCCAACCAGAAGUUUGGCUUUUUUGAGCUCGGGCUGUCUGCUUCGGUAUUGAACCCUUCAACCAGGACAGCUCCCUCUAGACUGUGGACCAACCUGGGAAGGGGAGGCGAAAUCCCCCUCUCCUGCAUUGGGGAGAUGCAGGAAGAACUGGCCUGCCAAGGAACCGACCUUGCAUUUAACCAGAUGACAGCCUCCCUAUUUACAUCUUUGACCAAGGUCCUGGGCAAGACUCUUCAGAGGAACAUCGCAAGGCCAGACUGAGCCAGGGCCUUCCCGAUAUGCAGCCCCAACAAAUGGUGCUAUGACAAUGCCUUAGUGAAGCACUGGACUGACUGCCUGGAACUGGCCCGUCUGCAGGGAUGGCGCAGUGGAGACCACAUCCCACACUUCUGACCUCCUCCAAUAAGGGUACAAGGUCUUGCCAGAUGCAUCUUGGGAACUCAGGACCAAUCUGCUAGCACAGCCACAGCCACAAAUAGACAUGGAUAUAGGAAUUGGAUGCAGGGAAUGGCUGAGUGGGACAAGCCACCAGAAGACUUGGAUUCUGAUUAAAACGGUGUCCAAGGUUCAAGGACUGAACAAUAAGGGAACCUAGAACCUCCAUGAUGGUCCAAUUGAAUUCUGCUCAGUUGAAAAUAGCUGCUUUGGUAUGGCAUGAUAUCUAACUAUUACAGUAUUAUCUAAGUAGUAAAGAUGAUUGGAGACAUCUUAUUGGGUGGAGUGGAGAAAGUGUCAUUUCCACCAAGAGUUGGCCAGAUGCUCUGCUCAAAGUCUGCAUCCGCCUUUGAGCAGAGUUCACUGUUGUCUGCUUCUGCCAUAGGGCUGAUGGUGCCCAUGUAAAGUAGGACAGUCAGGGGAGCUGGGAAGAGAAAGUGUCUGCCCACCUCACAUGAAAAUCCUGGCUAUGAACCUGUAGUCACUAUGACACAGUGACAAGGAACAUGAAGCACAUGAACCCUAACCCUCCUCAUCCUUCCCUGUCACUCCAUCCAUUCCAGACAGACUAUGGAGGAUUCUGGGUUCUUUUCCCCAGAUCUUAUUGUUCUGGUUCAACUCAUGUGCCUGUUCAAAUGUGGUUGGUGGUUCCACCAAUCUCAUAAUUUAAUACCCUCUUUGAGGGAGAAAGAUAAGGAAGUUCAGAUUGAGGACACGCUCCGAGAACAUACUGUGUUUCUCAUGGCUGAAAGACUUUGAGGAGAAUGGAUACAGGGCAAGAGCUUGCAAUGGCUCUCUGUGCUGUACUCUCAGCCCGCUGCGACGUGACACUUUUCAAACCCAGUGGUGCUAAAUGCCUAUAUGUUAUUGAUUCCUCCUUGUAUCUCAGGCUGUGGGGCCAGUUCGGCAUUGUGGUGUAUGUGUGUGCGUGUCUGUUACUGUAUUAUCUAACAACCUGUAUUAAACCUCAGAAUCCGUGAUUACCCCAGUCUCUGUGCCCAGCUGUCUGUUCUGAAUAAAGCAUGAACAAAAGGA
This is a long non-coding RNA of Sphaerodactylus townsendi, 1796 nucleotides long. RefSeq lists it as uncharacterized. The transcript has 3 exons. NCBI's taxonomy places the organism in Eukaryota, Metazoa, Chordata, Lepidosauria, Squamata, Sphaerodactylidae. The record is from RefSeq and is a predicted model, not a curated record.